This is a long non-coding RNA of Rhododendron vialii, 1685 nucleotides long. RefSeq lists it as uncharacterized. The record is from RefSeq and is a predicted model, not a curated record. Lineage: Eukaryota; Viridiplantae; Streptophyta; Magnoliopsida; Ericales; Ericaceae. The transcript is spliced from 2 exons.
ACUGUGCUGUUUGUGGCAGGAAACUCCUCAGCCAACUAUGGAAAAGAACCCAGAAGGCAGUACGAAUGUCUUGUGCUCUCUUUGUUUUUUUUUUUUUUGUAUAAAUUAACCCAUUUGUUUCCCUUCUUGGUAGUUUUAUUUGGGGUUUUACUUACUGUUUCAACCUGUCCUGAUUUCGUUUGGGUUUUGUAAUGAAAGAUUACGAGGAAGCUGUAAAGGAUGAGCAAAGAGAAGGGCUUUGCAAGGGAGCUUGUGAGUAGUGAGUACAAGCCAUCUGAACGCAUCUCUGAUCGCCUGCGCCCUCACAUACUCAACAUUGACUGUUAUCUAAUGGUUUCACAUAUGGAUCCCAUGCUACUCGUCGUAGUACUCGAAGCGGUUUUGAAAUAUAUGCUCCGGAUGCAACCUUCAAAGAUCCACAUGUGUGCUCGUGGGUACAUACGGUAAUAGAAUGUGAGUGUAUGUUUUGGGGUCUGGUGUGGCUAGUGUCUGAUUUUGCGUUUGGUGUCGAAGUUGAGUAUUAUUUGAGUCUAAGUGUGGGGUGUAAUGUCUGGUUUUCUAGAUUGGGAGUCUUGGGGUAUUCUCUAAAGUGGGAUUUAGUUUUGUGUUGGGGCUUCUAUUCAAAACCAGAAGCACCUGCAGAUGCUGAUUUUGGUAUAUCAUGAAGUAGCUGAUGGUGGGGCUUGUAGGCCCUUGAUGCUUCUUAAAAUUGGGAGUUAGGUAGACACAGGGAAGUAGAAGACUCAUAUUCGAGGACAUUGAUGCCACAUAGUAUAGAGAUCAAUGCUUUCCUUGGAUUGAAGAUCUGUCUUGAGGCCAACUGAUUUGGAUGGGAUCAUUGCAAAAGUAGAGGAUUUUUUUUUGCAAUGAAGUCACAAACACUACGUCGAUGCUAACUCUUGUACAAUUAAUGUUCCCUCCCUACUUAACACGUUUUGUGAAUAUGGAAUGUUUUGUUGCUAUCAUUCUCUUCAUGUUUAUAUAACCCUCAUGGCUACCAGACUUACAUCAUAUAACUUAUGCUAUGCUUUCUGAUCUUGUCGGGGAAAAACAUGACCUCAAGCCAGCUCCUUUUGAACCUAAUGUGAUAUAUGGUUAUGGUUUUCCUUCAGGAACCACUUUAUGUUCAUGGUUGCAUUAGUAGCUAUAUCAACUUAAUUUGCAAUGUUAUUCCCCUAGAUUUCGCAUACCCUUUUCCCUCCUUCUGCGUUUGUGUUAAUAGUUAAGGUUCCUAAAUCCAUUGGUUAGCAAUUAUGCUUUUGUCAUGGCAAUCAACAUUUAGCCAUCCCAUACAAUAUACCCAAUAUAUUUUGCUCCAAAUCAACAGGCAUGACAUUCGUGCCUUCCCUUUUCUUCGUAUAUUGUAUCAUACUUGUGGGCUCAUCUCAAUCACUUGAUAACUAACUUUCGUUUUUCCCCUUUCCAGGUAUGAUUUGGUGAUUUUAUGGUAGUUUGAAUGGAGAUCCUUUUCGUGGUAUAUUCUCUUUUCCACAUUUUUCCCUUCUCGCACCGAGUAUUGGCUUAGUUGAUACUCCUACUUUUUAAGUUUUCCUUUUGGCUUUGCCCUUGAGCAUUGGCCAAAGUCACCACAAAUAUUUGUUGCUAUCCUAAAUAAGAGGUGUGGUAGAAAAAUCCGUUCCAUUGCGUAGUUCUCCUUUUUAUCAUAUAUCCCUUCGAGAUAAAAA